AGAUGUGAGGGCAAUCUGGCUGUGACAUCUAGUCACCGCAUUCAUCACCAGGGUUGAUGCGGCUGAUCUGGCUGGGUAGAUGGGGAUCCCCUUUCUCCCUCGCCGCUCCAUCUGCAUCCCUCCUGAAGCUGUGCGAACUCUGUCAAAGAGGACGACCUUCCCCCAGUAGAAGAGGACAGAUCUUCAGUCAAGGGUGUACCCGUAGCUGUGCUCCCCCGCUGACACCUCCCAACAAGCUCUCAAGAUAUGGAACAGUUCUAUUGUUCAAAAAAAGUCUCUCUCAUGCUACCUUUGUA
Molecule: small nuclear RNA, 296 nt
Filed under: Ailuropoda melanoleuca (giant panda)
Lineage: Eukaryota; Metazoa; Chordata; Mammalia; Carnivora; Ursidae
Description: 7SK RNA
Rfam family: 7SK RNA
About the family: 7SK was discovered as an abundant small nuclear RNA in the mid-70s but a possible function has only recently been suggested. Two independent studies have found that 7SK RNA binds the CDK9/cyclin T complex (known as elongation factor P-TEFb). P-TEFb activates transcription by phosphorylating the C-terminal domain of RNA polymerase II.
Source: Rfam by way of RNAcentral